GAAAAAGGUUCCGGCCUCAGCUGGCGCACCUGGCGGAGGAGGAACCCCGCGACGAGCUCACGGGCACCUCUGUCUCCCAGCAAAGCUUGGAGGGUUUAGCAGCGUGGAGAGCUCAGCGAGCUCUCCUGUGCCUGUUUGGGGCGUGUGGGCUCCAGGAGCGUGAGUACCGGGAAGCUGGGAGGCUCCUUCCUUUCUGGUGGCUACCUCACUGAGAGCGGGCGGUUUGGUUGCGGGGAACGUGGAGGCGAGCCACCCUUGACCUUUGACUGCAAGGACUCACCUUGAGCAGGACAGAGGCACUUGGACGGUGACCCUCGGUGUGCAAUAAGUGCUGACACAGAGCAGGUGUGCAAGGCAUAGAGCUAGAGGCCAGAGGCUUUUCUUCUCCAACCUUCAGUCACCUCUUUGUAAAGUGAAGCCAGCAUCCUCCUCGGAGUUUACUGUGAAAAUUAAGUGAGCUGACGCCGGCUGUGUUUUGAUGUCGCUUGGCUCCUACAAACAUUCAUCGGGCCAGACACUGUUUUGAAAAAUACACAGUCGACUCUUGAACAACACAGGCUUGAACUGCAUGCGACCACUAAUACUCAGACUUUCUUCUGGCUUUGCAACCCCUAAGACAGUAAGACCAACCCCUCCUGCUCCUCAGCCUACUGGAAGUGAUGAUGACACACAGAAUAGAAGACCAUGUGAAGACAGAGGCAGAUGCUGGAGAGAUACAGCCACAGGCCUGUGAAUGCUGAUGACCACCAGAAACCGGAGGAAGCAAGGAAGAAUUCUCCCCGAGAGUCUCUGAAGGAAGCGUGGCCCUGCCAACACCUUGAUUUUGGACUUCUGUCCUUCAGGACUGUAAAAAACAAAUUUCUGUUAAAUCAUGAAGCUUGUGGUCAUUUGUUACUGCAACCAUAGGAAAUUAAUGUGCACCCUAACUCUUUUCCCUGCCCAUCCUUCCUCAAUUACCUGUUCUCUACUUCCUGGGUGUGGCCCUCAGCCCCUGUUUGUGUUCUUAGCCCUGCAGGUAAGCCACCUUCAGCUUCACUGGGUCUGUACCUUUCUUGUGGUUGAUAAGUCCUGCAGCUGCCUAGCCUGGUGCUCUUCUUUCCUUCCCCAUCUCUUCUUUGAUCUCCCCUUGGAGAAUCACAACUGACCAGUCAGGUAGCGUGAUGCCUCCAACUUUGUUCUUUUGGCUUAGGACUGU
Molecule: long non-coding RNA, 1195 nt
Organism: Rhinopithecus roxellana (golden snub-nosed monkey)
Lineage: Eukaryota; Metazoa; Chordata; Mammalia; Primates; Cercopithecidae
Exons: 3
Source: RefSeq, a predicted model, not a curated record